GAUGAACGCUGGCGGCGUGCCUAAUACAUGCAAGUCGAGCGAACAGAUGAGAAGCUUGCUUCUCUGAUGUUAGCGGCGGACGGGUGAGUAACACGUGGGUAACCUACCUAUAAGACUGGGAUAACUCCGGGAAACCGGGGCUAAUACCGGAUAAUAUUUUGAACCGCAUGGUUCAAUAGUGAAAGACGGUUUCGGCUGUCACUUAUAGAUGGACCCGCGCCGUAUUAGCUAGUUGGUAAGGUAACGGCUUACCAAGGCGACGAUAAGUAGCCGACCUAGGAGGGUGCUGGGCCACACUGGAACUGAGACACGGGCCAGACUCCUACGGGAGGCAGCAGUAGGGAAUCUUCCGCAAUGGGCGAAAGCCUGACGGAGCAACGCCGCUUGAGUGAUGAAGGUCUUCGGAUCGUAAAACUCUGUUGUUAGGGAAGAACAAAUUUGUUAGUAACUGAACAAGUCUUGACGGUACCUAACCAGAAAGCCACGGCUAACUACGUGCCAGCCGCCGCCGUAA
Molecule: ribosomal RNA, 514 nt
Filed under: uncultured bacterium
Lineage: Bacteria
Description: partial 16S ribosomal RNA
Rfam family: Bacterial small subunit ribosomal RNA
Source: RNAcentral